GAUGAACGCUGGCGGCGUGCCUAAUACAUGCAAGUAGAACGCUGAAGCUUGGUGCUUGCACCGAGCGGAAGAGUUGCGAACGGGUGAGUAACGCGUAGGUAACCUGCCUCUUAGCGGGGGAUAACUAUUGGAAACGAUAGCUAAUACCGCAUAAAAGUCGGCAUUGCAUGAUGUUGACUUGAAAGGUGCAACUGCAUCACUAAGAGAUGGACCUGCGUUGUAUUAGCUAGUUGGUGAGGUAACGGCUCACCAAGGCGACGAUACAUAGCCGACCUGAGAGGGUGAUCGGCCACACUGGGACUGAGACACGGCCCAGACUCCUACGGGAGGCAGCAGUAGGGAAUCUUCGGCAAUGGACGGAAGUCUGACCGAGCAACGCCGCGUGAGUGAAGAAGGUUUUCGGAUCGUAAAGCUCUGUUGUAAGAGAAGAACGAGUGUGAGAGUGGAAAGUUCACACUGUGACGGUAACUUACCAGAAAGGGACGGCUAACUACGUGCCAGCAGCCGCGGUAAUACGUAGGUCCCGAGCGUUAUCCGGAUUUAUUGGGCGUAAAGCGAGCGCAGGCGGUUAGAUAAGUCUGAAGUUAAAGGCUGUGGCUUAACCAUAGUACGCUUUGGAAACUGUUUGACUUGAGUGCAGAAGGGGAGAGUGGAAUUCCAUGUGUAGCGGUGAAAUGCGUAGAUAUAUGGAGGAACACCGGUGGCGAAAGCGGCUCUCUGGUCUGUAACUGACGCUGAGGCUCGAAAGCGUGGGGAGCAAACAGG
Molecule: ribosomal RNA, 765 nt
Filed under: uncultured Streptococcus sp.
Lineage: Bacteria; Bacillati; Bacillota; Bacilli; Lactobacillales; Streptococcaceae
Description: bacterial SSU rRNA
Rfam family: Bacterial small subunit ribosomal RNA
Source: RNAcentral